Molecule: long non-coding RNA, 1876 nt
Organism: Silurus meridionalis
Lineage: Eukaryota; Metazoa; Chordata; Actinopteri; Siluriformes; Siluridae
Exons: 6
Source: RefSeq, a predicted model, not a curated record
GAAGACAGUCAUGGAGGAAUUUCUGGAAUUGUGCAACUUUCUUGUUACAUAAGAAAACAGUUUUCAUUCCAGCUCUUUGCUUGAGCAUGUCAGGCUCAGUAUGUAAACAAGCAUUUUUUCCCAAUGACUCACACAAUCUUCGACUUUGAAUCAACAUCAGAUUUACAGAGAUUCAGAGAUGAUGGUCACUAACGCUCUCGGUGUGUUCAUGUUCAUUACAGCACUGAUUGUCGCUGAAGGCUCCUGGGGUUCUGGUAUGUUUAUAACAUCCUCAUUGCAUGAGUUUAUUAAGCCUUAUGGAAAUGAAGCCUAAGUAUAAUAAAAUUUGUUUUUCAAAAUGUCCAAAAAAUUAUAAAAAAGAUUAAGCACACUUCAAAGAGAUUACAAUAUGUGAACUGUACAGAAUAGUGUGCACGUUAUACAUAUUAUACACACAUUAACUGUACAGGACUUAUACUAAUAUAAUAUGUAUAUUUUUUAUUAUCAGUUAAAAAGAGAAACUCAUACAGUUAUGACCUGUCGAGUAGGUCUGACCUGACCAAGCUCUUUAACUCUAAAGUGUAUAAGGCUUAACGGAUGACACGACCACUUCAUGGCAAGAGAAAUGAGAGAGGAAUAUUUAGUCACUCAGGACUCAGAGUGACUCUGGAAGAUGGCACUAAGUGGUUGGUGCAUAAAGAAAAAGAGCGAGAAGCCUAAAACUUCGAUGGGAAAAAGACGGUGUCAGAUUUAGUGAAAGCAGGAGGAACUAAAUACAGUCUGCUGUUCAAUAACUGUCACAACGCUGCAAGGAGGAUGAUGAAAGACUAAACACACUGAAAUACACACUUCAGAACCACGACAUAAAGCUGGAGGACAAACUUGAAAUCCUACCUGUGCAUACACACUCAGGAGUGCACACUUACACAGCUCUAUGUGAUACAAGUGUGCACUUCUAUGGUCACUUUGUAGUGUGUGUCUAUAUGUAUUUACCAAACCACACACUCCCGGCGCACAUAGUAUACUUCCUAUAACAUAAUAUUUGCUUUAUUGUGAUUUGUGAUAUAACCAGUUGUCAUGGUAAUUGGUAAAGCCUUGUUGUGAGUGCUGAAACACUUUGGUUUCUAGCUAACGUUAGUGUACAUGUACUAUGGAAAUAUCAAUGUGCAGUUUCGGAUGCAACCCUUAUGUUUGUUUAUGUUUUGAGGAGCAGCGCAAGUCAACACACUGAACCCUGUGAGGAUCAGCGUGACUUUAGAAAUACGGUGCUCUUUAGCGCUUGUCACUCGUGCCAUCACAUCCAUAAAGACAACAUAGAUGAAGCUCCUUACACUUAGAUCCUUGAGGUUAGAGCAAGGAUUAUUAUAAAAGAUAAGUAAUUGGAGAAUGUGGGAAUGAUUGAACCUUUACAGGGUCAAAUACGGGACUGGAAGACAGUCAUGGAGGAAUUUCUGGAAUUGUGCAACUUUCUUGUUACAUAAGAAAACAGUUUUCAUUCCAGCUCUUUGCUUGAGCAUGUCAGGCUCAGUAUGUAAACAAGCAUUUUUUCCCAAUGACUCACACAAUCUUCGACUUUGAAUCAACAUCAGAUUUACAGAGAUUCAGAGAUGAUGGUCACUAACGCUCUCGGUGUGUUCAUGUUCAUUACAGCACUGAUUGUCGCUGAAGGCUCCUGGGGUUCUGUUAAAAAGAGAAACUCAUACAGUUAUGACCUGUCGAGUAGGUCUGACCUGACCAAGCUCUUUAACUCUAAAGUGUAUAAGGCUUAACGGAUGACACGACCACUUCAUGGCAAGAGAAAUGAGAGAGGAAUAUUUAGUCACUCAGGACUCAGAGUGACUCUGGAAGAUGGCACUAAGUGGUUGGUGCAUAAAGAAAAAGAGCGAGAAGCCUAAAA